RNAcentral lists this long non-coding RNA (4151 nucleotides) under Capsella rubella. Its description in RNAcentral is "long non-coding RNA (CRUB_LNC000460)". Lineage: Eukaryota; Viridiplantae; Streptophyta; Magnoliopsida; Brassicales; Brassicaceae. The record is from RNAcentral.
UGUUUGUUUGGGGUUAGAAUUUGUUAGAAUACAAUGAAGUUGAUUGAUUACAAGUAAUAGAGAUAGAUAAAGAGUGUUUAAAAGUGUGUAGGAAGACUUGCUGAAAUUUGGUCCAAAAUGGGAUAAGAACCCACAACCAUUGCUUUGAAUAAUUAAAUGGCUUGUCUAAUGUUGUUUGGGGUUAGAAUAUGUUAGAAUACAAUAAAUUUGAUUAAUUACAAGUGCUAUAGGUGCAUGAAGAGUGUUUAAAAGUGUGGAGAAAGACUUGUUGAAAUUAGGUCCCAAAUGGGCUAAGAACUCGGAAACAUUGCGUUGAACCACUAAAUGAAUUAUUUAGUGUUAUUUGGGGUUAGAAUUUGUUAGAAUACAAUCAAGUUGAUUGAUUACAAGUGAUAGAGAUAGAUGAAGAGUGUUUAAAAGUGUGUAGAGAGACUUGCUGAAAUUUGAUCCAAAAUGGGCUAAGAACCCAUAACCCAUUGCUUUGAAGCAUUAAAUGUCUUGGAUAGUGUUGUUUGGGGUUAGAAUAUGUUAGAAUACAAUAAAUUUGACUGAUUACAAGUGCUAGAGGUGCAUGAAGAGUGAUUAGAAGUGUGGAGAAAGACUUGUUGAAACUAGAUCCCAAAUGGGCUAAGAACUCGGAAACAUUGCGUUGAACCAUUAAAUGAAUUAUUUAGUGUUAUUUGGGGUUAUAAUUUGUUAGAAUACAAUCAAGUUGAUUGAUUACAAGUGAUAGAGAUAGAUGAAGAGUGUUUAAAAGUGUGUAGGAAAACUUGCUGAAAUUUGGUCCAAAAUGGGAUAAGAACCCACAACCUUUGCUUUGAAUAAUUAAAUAGCUUGGGUAAUGUUGUUUGGGGUUAGAAUAUGUUAAAUAGCUUGGGUCCCAAAUGGGCUAAAAACUCGGACACAUUGCGUUGAACCACUAAAUGACUUAUUUAGUGUUGUUUGGAGUUAGAAUUUGUUAGAGUACAAUGAAUUUGAUUGAUUUCAAGUGAUAGAUAUGCAUGAAGAGUGUUUAAAAGUGUGUAGAGAGACUUGCUGAAAUUUGAUCCAAAAUGGGACAAGAACCCACAACCAUUGUUUUGAAGAAUUAAAUGGCCUGUCUAAUGUUGUUUGGGGUUAGAAUAUGUUAGAUUACAAUAAAUUUGAUUAAUUACAAGUGCUAGAGCUGCAUGAAGAGUGUUUAGAAGUGUGGAGAAAGACUUGUUGAAAUUGGGUCCCAAAUGGGCUAAGAACUACGAAACAUUGCAGUGAACCACUAAAUCACUUAUCUAGUGUUGUUUGGGGUUAGAAUAUGUUAGAAUACAAUGAAUUUGAUUGAUUCAAAGUGCUAGAGAUGCAUGAAGAGUGUUUAAAAGUUUGUAGAGAGACUUGCUAAAAUUUAGUCCAAAAUGGGCUAAGAACCCACAACCAUUGCUUUGAAGCAUUAAAUGGCUUGUAUAGUAUUGUUUGGGGUUAGAAUAUGUUAGAAUACAAUAAAUUUGAUUGAUUACAAGUGCUAGAGGUGCAUGAAGAGUGUUUAGAAGUGUGGAGAAAGACUUGUUGAAAUUGGGUCCCAAAUGGGAUAAGAACUAGGACACAUUGCGUUGAACCACUAAAUAACUUAUCUAGGGUUGUUUGGCGUUAGAAUAUGUUAGAAUACAAUGAAGUUGAUUGAUUACUAGUGCUAGAGAUACAUGAAGAGAGUUUAAAAGUGUAUGGAAAGACUUGCUGAAAUUUGGCCCAAAAUGGGCUAAGAACCCACAACCAUUGCUUUGAAGAAUUAAAUGGCUUGUCUAGUGUUGUUUGGAGUUAGAAUAUGUUAGCAUACAAUAAAUUUGAUUGAUUACAAGGGCUAGAGGUGCAUGAAGAGUGUUUAGAAAUGUGGCGAAAGACUUGUUGAAAUUAGGUCUCAAAUGCGCUAAGAACUAGAAAACAUUGCGUUGAACCAAUAAAUGACUUAUCUAGUGUUGUUUGGGAUUAUAAUAUGUUAGAAUACAAUGAAGUUGAUUGAUUACAAGUGCUAGAGAUACAUGAAGAGUGUUUAAAAGUGGGUAGAAAGACUUGCUGAAAUUUGGUCCAAAAUGGGCUAAGAACCCACAACCAUUGCUUUGAAGAAUUAAAUGGCGUGUCUAGUGUUUUUUGGGGUUAGAAUAUGUUAGCAUACAAUAAAUUUGAUUGAUUACAAGGGCUAGAGGUGCAUGAAGAGUGUUUAGAAGUGUGGAGAAAGACUUGUUGAAAUUGGGUCCCAAAUGGACUAAUAACUCGGAAACAUUGCGUUGAACCACUAAAUGACUUAUCUAGUGUUGUUUGGGGUUAGAAUAUGUUAGAAUACAAUGAAGUUGAUUGAUUACAAGUGCUACAGAUACAUGAACAGUGUUUACAAGUGUGGAGGAAGACUUGCUGAAAUUUGGUCCAAAAUAGGAUAAAAUCCACAACCAUUGCUUUGAAUAAUAAAAUGGCUUGUCUAAUGUUUUUUGGGGUUGGAAUAUGUUAGAAUACAAUAAAUUUGAUUAAUUCCAAGUGCUAGAGGUGCAUGAAGAGUGUUUAGAAGUGUGGAGAAAGACUUGUUGAAAUUAGGUCCCAAAUGAGCUAAGAACUAGGAAACAUUGCGUUGAACCACUAAAUGACUUAUCUAGUGUUGUUUAGGGUUAGAAUAUGUUAGAAUUCAAUAUACUUGAUUGAUUUCAAGUGCUAGAGAUGCAUGAAGAGUGUUUAAAAGUAUGUAGAGAGACUUGCUGAACCCACAACCAUUGCUUUGAAGCAUUAAAUGGCUUGUAUAGUGUUGUUUGGGGUUAGAAUAUGUUAGAAUACAAUAAAUUUGAUUGAUUAAAAGUGCUAGAGAUGCAUGAACUGAUUUUAGAAGUGUGGAGAAAGACUUGUUGAAAUUGGGUCCGAGAUGGGCUAAAAACUCGGAAACAUUGCGUUGAACCACUAAAUGACUUAUUUAGUGUUUGUUUGGGGUUAGAAUUUGUUAGUAUACAAUGAAGUUAAUUGAUUACAAGUAAUAGAGAUAGAUAAAGAGUGUUUAAAAGUGUGUAGAAAGAUUUGCUGAAAUUUGGUCCAAAAUGGGAUAAGAACCCACAACCAUUGCUUUGNNNNNNNNNNNNNNNNNNNNNNNNNNNNNNNNNNNNNNNNNNNNNNNNNNNNNNNNNNNNNNNNNNNNNNNNNNNNNNNNNNNNNNNNNNNNNNNNNNNNUGGGUCGCAAAUGGGCUAAGAAAUCGGAAACAUUGCGUUGAACCACUAAAUGACUUAUCUAGUGUUGUUUGGGGCUAUGAUAUGUUAGAAUACAAUGAAUUUGAUUGAUUGCAAGUGCUAGAGAUGCAGGAAGAGUGUUUAAAAGUGUGUAGAGAGACUUGCUGAAAUUUGGGCCAAAAUGGGCUAAGAACUCACAACCAUUGCUUUGAAGAAUUAAAUGGAAUGUCUAAUGUUGUUUGGUGUUAUAAUAUGUUAGAAUACAAUAAAUUUGAUUAAUUACAAGUGCUAUAGGUGCAUGAAGAGUGUUUCGAAGUGUGGAGAAAGACUUGUUUAAAUUGGGUCCCAAAUGGGCUAAAAACUCGGACACAUUGCGUUGAACCACGAAAUGACUUAUCUAGUGUUGUUUGGGGUUAGAAUAUGUUAGAAUACAAUGAAUUUGACUGAUUUCAAGUGCUAGAGAUGCAUGAAGAGUGAUUAAAAGUGUGUAGAGAGACUUGCUGAAAUUUGGUCCAAAAUGGGCUAAGAACCCACAACCAUUGCUUUGAAGAAUUAAAUGGAUUGUAUAGUGUUGUUUGGGGUUAGAAUAUGUUAGAAUACAAUAAAUUUGAUUGAUUACAACUGCUAGAGGUGCAUGAAGAGUGUUUAGAAGUGUGGAGAAAGCUUGUUGAAAUUGGGUCCGAGAUGGGCUAAAAACUCGGGAACAUUGCGUUGAACCACGAAAUGACUUAUUUAGUGUUUGUUUGGGGUUAGAAUUUGUUAGAAUACAAUGAAGUUGAUUGAUUAAAAGUAAUAGAGUUAGAUAAAGAGUGUUUAAAAGUGUGUAGGUAGACUUGCUGAAACUUGGUCCAAAAUGGGAUAAGAACCCACAACCAUUGCUUUGAAUAAUUAAAUGGCUUAUCUAAUGUUGUUUGGGACUAGAAUAUGUUAGAAUACAAUAAAUUUGAUUAAUUACAAGUGCUAUAGGUGCAUGAAGAGUG